UGGGGAAUAUUGGACAAUGGGGGCAACCCUGAUCCAGCCAUGCCGCGUGUGUGAAGAAGGCCUUUUGGUUGUAAAGCACUUUAAGCAGGGAGGAGAGGCUAAUGGUUAAUACCCAUUAGAUUAGACGUUACCUGCAGAAUAAGCACCGGCUAACUCUGUGCCAGCAGCCGCGGUAAUACAGAGGGUGCGAGCGUUAAUCGGAAUUACUGGGCGUAAAGCGAGUGUAGGUGGCUCAUUAAGUCACAUGUGAAAUCCCCGGGCUUAACCUGGGAACUGCAUGUGAUACUGGUGGUGCUAGAAUAUGUGAGAGGGAAGUAGAAUUCCAGGUGUAGCGGUGAAAUGCGUAGAGAUCUGGAGGAAUACCGAUGGCGAAGGCAGCUUCCUGGCAUAAUAUUGACACUGAGAUUCGAAAGCGUGGGUAGCAAACAGG
This 430-nucleotide ribosomal RNA is filed under the name bacterium. Its description in RNAcentral is "partial 16S ribosomal RNA". It matches the Rfam family "Bacterial small subunit ribosomal RNA", at positions 355 to 776 of the family's 1533-position model. The record is from RNAcentral. RNAcentral also lists the same sequence under 7 other names.